GAUGAAGAACGUAGCGAAAUGCGAUACGUAGUGUGAAUUGCAGAAUUCAGUGAAUCAUCGAAUCUUUGAACGCACAUUGCACCUCUCGGUAUUCCGGGAGGUAUGCCUGUUCGAGCGUCAUUUGUACCCUCAAGCUCUGCUUGGUGUUGGGUGUUUGUUCCGCCUCUGUGUGUGAACUCGCCUCAAAACAAUUUGCAGCCGGCGUACUUGUUUCGGAGCGCAGCACAUUUUGCGAUCCAGAUCAACGUACAGCGGCAUCCAAGAAGCCUUAUUUAACGCUCUUGACCUCGGAUCAGGUAGGGAUACCCGCUGAACUUAAGCAUAUCAAUAAGCGGAGGA
This 339-nucleotide unclassified non-coding RNA is filed under the name soil metagenome. RNAcentral describes it as "partial contains 5.8S ribosomal RNA, internal transcribed spacer 2, and large subunit ribosomal RNA". The stretch from base 1 to 120 matches the Rfam family "5.8S ribosomal RNA", at positions 35 to 154 of the family's 154-position model. The record is from RNAcentral.